This 328-nucleotide unclassified non-coding RNA is filed under the name soil metagenome. RNAcentral describes it as "partial contains 5.8S ribosomal RNA, internal transcribed spacer 2, and large subunit ribosomal RNA". The stretch from base 1 to 120 matches the Rfam family "5.8S ribosomal RNA", at positions 35 to 154 of the family's 154-position model. The record is from RNAcentral.
GAUGAAGAACGUAGCGAAAUGCGAUAAGUAGUGUGAGUUGCAGAAUUCAGUGAAUCAUCGAAUCUUUGAACGCACAUUGCGCCCUCUGGUAUUCCGGGGGGCAUGCCUGUUCGAGCGUCAUUAUAACCACUCAAGCUCUCGCUUGGUAUUGGGGUUCGCGGUUCCGCGGCCCCUAAAAUCAGUGGCGGUGCCUGUCGGCUCUACGCGUAGUAAUACUCCUCGCGAUUGAGUCCGGUAGGUCUACUUGCCAGCAACCCCAAUUUUUACAGGUUGACCUCGGAUCAGGUAGGGAUACCCGCUGAACUUAAGCAUAUCAAUAAGCGGAGGA